AUCACUUCUCAGCCUUUUGGCUUAGAUGAAGUGUAGUCCCUGUUGGUUCACAGGGGCUUGCAUGUAGGACCUCAGCCUCUUGUGGGCCAACAUCACCUUGAAUGGCAUUGUGUAGUUAAGGGUGGAGGCUUGUCCAAUGCACUGUGGGCAGCCCCCCCACACCCUCAUGAAAGUCUACUAUAGCCUUGCACAGGGAGGAUCUUAG
RNAcentral lists this small nuclear RNA (205 nucleotides) under Alligator mississippiensis (American alligator). Its description in RNAcentral is "U2 spliceosomal RNA". It matches the Rfam family "U2 spliceosomal RNA". From Rfam's summary of the family: U2 is a small nuclear RNA (snRNA) component of the spliceosome (involved in pre-mRNA splicing). Complementary binding between U2 snRNA (in an area lying towards the 5' end but 3' to hairpin I) and the branchpoint sequence (BPS) of the intron results the bulging out of an unpaired adenosine, on the BPS, which initiates a nucleophilic attack at the intronic 5' splice site, thus starting the first of two transesterification reactions that mediate splicing. Lineage: Eukaryota; Metazoa; Chordata; Crocodylia; Alligatoridae. The record is from Rfam by way of RNAcentral.